GGAUAGAGUAUUGUGGGCCCAUUGGUUGUCAUGGAUCAUGGGUCUAGGCCCAUUUGGUGAGGUGGGCCCAAUUUUGUAAAUUGGGCCAAUAGUGGGCUUUGCUUCGGACUUUUGGACUUUGGGCCAUUGGUGGGCUUGGGAGCUUACCUAGUGUUGGGCUGGAUUGAGUUAAGGGUAAAAUGGUCAAUUUACCUUGGAAGGGUUUUGUGCUUAGCCUAAUGAUUAUUUGUGCUAUGUUGGCUAGUUCGGGAUUUUCGGUGAGUCGGUGAUUCGAGAAUCUGCGUCUUCAGUUCAGAGUUUCGGCAGUGCGAGGUGAGUUAUCCUCACUAUAUCAACAGGGUCUAAGGCACCAAGGCCGACCCUUUAUCGGAAUGAGAUCCGGGUAUUUGUUGUUAUGAUAUUGCUUUGAUAUGUUGCAUCCUGGUAGCUAGGAUGGUAUAUGUUAGAGACCUGGUUGAGGUCGGUAUCCUGAUAUGUAGGGUGAUGCUAUGCUAGUGACCGGUUAGGUCGGUAUCCUGGUUAGGAUGAUGAUAUGUUAUGUGAUCUGUUUGAUCGGCUUGUUGACUGUGAAUUGUUAUAUGAUUGUAUGUUUAUGUGCACAUGGUUGUUUGGACUGGAGUUGGGUUGAGGCGGGUCCUGCUUUGUGCUGUAGGCCAAGAUACCCAGGGCGGACCGGUUGUCCCGAAGGCCCAGCGAGCGGUCCGGAUAGGCUGUAGGCCCCAAGAGGGCGGACCAGACGUGCCGAGGCUCGGAGAGUGGACCAGGCCGACUGAAGGCCCGGUGCGGGCGGACCAGUCAUACUGUAGACUCAGAGAGUGGACCAGGUGGAUUGAAGGCCCGGUGCGGGCGGACCAAUCACACUGCAGACUCGAUGUAUAUGGCUAGACUCGGAGGGUGGACCAGGUGGACUGUUGGCCGGUGCGGCGGACCAGUCACACAGUAGACCCGAAGUGCAUGGUUGUUCUGUGAUCGGAUAUGAUAUGGCAUGUUAUGCGUGUAUGGUAUAUGUGGUUGGUAUUUUGGGGAUAUCUCACUAAGCUUUCGGGCUUACAGUUGUGGUUUAAUGUUUUUCAGGUUCUUCAGGAGACCGUGGCAAGGCGAAGGCGUGAUCGUACCGCUCCUCAUGUUUAUGUUGUGAUGUGAUUCUGGGAAUACUCUAAAUAAAUUGUAUUGAAAACCUUUUUGUAAUAAUUUAAUGAAAUCGGGUUGUUUUUGAAAAGUUUAAAUUGGUUGGAAUUUUUCGGUCGUUACAAAAUGGUAUCAGAGCCUUGGUUUGAGUGAAUUGGAGGAACACUCGUGUGACUCCAGUCUCAAAUCGAGGAGAGUUUUCAAAAGAGAAUUUAAAAUGGUUUUCAAAAUGAGUAAAGGAGGACGCGGAGGUACGAUCAGCCGGAGCCAGUAAGUAACCCCAAAAUACCAUACAUGAUAUUUGUUUUUGAGCUUUGAUAGAACAGCAUGCUAGUGCUAGGCUAGGGAUCUUCAGGAUUUCAUGAUAAUGUUGCCUGAUUUAUGAUGCCUGUUAGCCUAGGGUUUCCUUGUGGGAGAUUUCCAGUGUUCCUCUAGUAGUGAGGGUUGAGCGUUUGUUAUGUAUGUUUUCACUAGGGUGUUGUGGUAGUACUUCAUACAAAUAUGGGUAGGUGUGGAAGGUAGUAUGGGCCCGUACUACUGAAAGCACAGGACCCAUACGCGUAUCAGGGAAACCAUGACCUCUAGGGUUGGGUUGAGAGUUGGUUCCCGGGUUAGUGGGAAGUGUCUGAGAUUUUGUGGUGUUUUUCAGUAUGGAGAUUCCGAGGCAUGCUGGGAGUGGAUCCGGGUCAGGAUCGGGAGCAGGAGAGGGAGUUCCGGGCGGGUCAGUACCGCCCGAGGUUAUUGGUCAGAUGAGCACGUGCGAGUUGGAUGCGAGGAUUCGUGAGAUCCUGCAUGAUGAGGUUGCUGCGUUGUUCCGGGCUGAGUUGCCGGAACUGUUUGGGUCGAUCAAGACCGCCAUGGUUGAGUAUUUUGAUGAGCGCUAUGCAGCUCUCACAGAGACGGCUGCCGCGGCGGCUACAACGGCUGUAGCAGCGGCAGGGGGAGGAGCUGGUCGGGGUUUUCAGUAUCGGGACUUCGAUAAUACGAAGCCUCCCACCUUUGAUGGAGUUCAGGACCCGAUUGUUGCUAUGAGAUGGUUAUCGGACGUGGAGGGGUGUUUCUUCACGUGUUCAUGCCCUGCUGAUCAGAGGGUGAGGUGUGCUCUGAACCUGUUGAGGCUCGGGGCGAAGGAUUGGUGGAGAUUGACCACGGGGUCAUAUUCGGAUGCGCAGAAGGCUGCGGUUUCAUGGGAUCAGUUCAGAGAGAUGUUCAGCACUCGUUAUGUUCCGCGGGUUGAGAGAGAGAGAUUGGCUCAGGAGUUCCUCGAGCUGAAGCAGGGUUCGAAGUCGGUGACUGAGAUCACCAGGAUGUUCACUGAGAGGGCGAUGACAGUUUGUGUCUCCGCAGAGGUGUGAGACUUUGUUGGAGUUGCAGGAGGCCGCCAGGCAGCGUGAGUUGGAGAUUGAGUUGUAGUUGCGAGAGCUGAGGCAGGCUCCGGUGCAGUCGCAGUCGGUGCCGAAAUGGUCCAAGACCGUUGAUUCUAGGGUGGGAGAUCAGAGUAGCCACGCUUGUGGGAAGUGUGGGAGGGGUCACACUAGAGUUUGUAGGUCCGGUGGUGCAUGCUGCAAGUGCGGAAAGGAGGGGCACUAUGCGAGGGAUUGUCGGCAGUCAACGCUGGCUCGGGAUUUGAGGAUUUGUUAUCAUUGUCAUCAGGUUGGGCACUUGAGGGUCAACUAUCUACAGCUUGCUGCAGGACCGGUGCAGGCUCCAGCACCGACCACUUUGAGGAUCAUGGGUGGAGGUGAGGGUGGAGCAGAGCCCCCAAGGGCUCAGGGUCGUGCUUUUCAGGUUACAGCAGAGGAGGUCAGAGCAGUGCCGGAUGCAGCCACGGGUAUGUUUCUUUCUUGAUGUCUUGUUAUCUUGUGAUUAUUGUAGAGUGUUGUUAUCUGCUAGUCUCAUUGUGUGGUUUUUGGUGUGGUAUUCGUUGUUCUUUGAGGGUUAUGGUAUGGUUAUGGGGUAGUGUUGGGAAAUUCGUUGGUUAUCAUACAUGGGGGUUAUUAGUGGAAAUCUGGCGUCUGGUUUGAAGGUUGGGUAGCAUCUACAUUCUGAGGAGUGGUUAGCUGCAGAUUGAGUUUCUUUCGAGCUCGAAAUGAUCAGUGUUGAUAUGUGAUUUUGUGAAGGUUGCUCGUGCUUGCGGGACGCAAUUCGCGUGUAAGUGAUUGUGUUGUGUAAGGUUGUUGAGGGAGGUCGGUGAUGGCGAUCGGUGAUUAAUAGUCAGUGCUAUAAGUGGGGGAGAAUUGGAAAAUUCUCCAGAAGAUCAAUGAGCAUGUGAAGUUGUUUAGCUAUUUGGGAUUCAGUAGUAUUCUGUCAGCCAAGAGCGUAGGCUGGUAUGAGUAAGCGGCAGGCAUGCGGGUCGGGAUACAGACAGGGUAUUUGAUUGUGGAGGGCCUAGGAUCCGGCCGGGAUUGAGUAUGUAUGAUGGAGAUAGAGUUCGAAACCCCUAGAGGGCUNUUAAAGGGCUAGAACAGUGCACAUAGGAGGUUUUCUGGGAGUGAUAGCUCGGAAUGAUGAAUGCUAGUUGAGCGGUCCGGAUAGACUGAAGGCCGGUAGGCGUACCAGUCAAGCCGAAGGCUCGGAGGGCGGUCCUGCCAGACUGAAGGCCUUGGAGGGCGGUCCAGAUUGGCUGAAGGUUCUGAGACUGGUCCAGAUUGGCUGAAGGCUUGGUAAGGCGGUCCAGUCAUGCCGAAGACUCUGCAGGUAUUGUUAGACCGGUUUGAGGAAAUGGGUUGAGUUUGUCGCGAUGUGUUAGCCUUAGAAGGUCUGGCCCCGGGUAUUGAUCUUGAUUAGUGGAGAUAGUGCAUGGACUCGAGAGUCCUUGCGAGCAGAUUCAGAGCAUGUGUGUUGCAUGGAUAGCGGUUAUGCUAUAAGGGAGUGGUGUAGCAUUGGGCGAGCACCGUGGCACUUGUCACAGUGACAAGGUGGCGAAGUGGAUUUCCUUAGUAAGGAAAGAGAGAGGAAUGUAGCUCCGAGAGGGAGUGUAAAUUCACGGAAGUGAAAGCGGCAGUGCAGAGUUAUGAUUGGAGUGAUCCAAUUAUGGUCUUUGAGCACGUGAUUGCGGCAGUGGUAUGGAAUCACAUCCGGAUGGGAUGUCUGCUGAGGUCGCGGAAGGGAUUCCAUGGGUGUAGAGCCAAGAGGCUCGGAAGGGGUGCAGGGAUGGAGUCUUGGAUUCCCAGUUUGAUUCUGAUCAAGGAAUUGUGUAUGUAGUGGUGAUUCAUCAUGGGGGAUGUUUGGAGGUGUCGUCAGUGUGACGGGUUUUCCCAACCCGAGGGUGCUAGAGCUAGUGCAACAUGUGCAUGCGAUUGCAAGAGGAGAACUCAUGGGGGUCGCUCUGAGGCUGAAGAAUGUGUCAUCUGUCAGCAUGGAAUGGAUAGAGUUGGACUCGGAUCAGGAACCCAGUGGUUCAGGGUUAUAUCUAGCUCGUAAGAGUCAAGUGAUUGUUGUGAUCAGGAUCGAGAAAACUGCCAUGGAGUAGUACUCGGUUGAUAAGUAUAGAAUCUGAUAAAUGUGGUUAUCAAAGGGUGAAGCCGGUGGUCAGAACACCGCAAGAAAAAGGAAGAUUGAGUUUUGGACUUCAAAGGGUGUGACUUAAGGAACCUGGUUUAGUUAAUGUCAGGUGGUGCGUUGCGGGAGAAGUUCUGGAGUAGAGAUGCCGAAGGCUUCGAGGGCGAAGCCUAAUUUAAGUGGGGGAGAAUUGUAACGCCCCGUUCCUAAGAGUACUUAAUUGUGAGUCCCCGGGAUUUAAGAGGAAAAGUAUUUUGGUCAUCUCGUGGGAAAAGUGGAAUAAAGAGGGCCAAAUAUGAAAGUUGGGGACACGACGAGUACGCCCAGCGUAAGAGCGUAGUUGGACGCGGGUGCAAGGUUGAGUACGCCCAACGUACUAGAGGUACGCCCAACGUACUCUCAGAGUCCUAAAACCCUAAAUUUAGGGUCAGCCACUAUAUAAGGAACAUGUUGGUUCAUACCCUAGCCUCCCUAAGCUCUCCCUUAACCUCAGAAACCCUAGAUAGCCGUUCCACCUCCAUUGUUGGGUGUGUUUGGCCUUGAAAAGCUUAUUUUGGCAAAGGAGAGGCUAGAGGAAGAAAGAGGAAGUUGUCAAGGAAGGAGUUGAGUGGCUGGAGAUUGUAGAUCUGGAAGGAUAUCAUCCUUUGGAGCCUAGUUGAGGUAUAAAGCUUCUUGCUUGUCAUUUAUAUUGCAUAGAUCUAAGUGUUAUGAAGUUUUGACAUCAUCCUUGUCUCAAAAGUCCUCAUCUUGAUGCAUGUUUUGAGUUGGUCAAGAUUAUCUGUCCUUUCAGACCUUUGGAGAGGUCUUGAGUGAGAAAAAGGAGGUCCCAAGGCUGUGGUUGUUCCAUGUGUGAGAUAUGUAGGUAUUAAUAGGUUAAGACCUUGGAUUAAGAGCUUUAUGGACGUCCCAAGUGAUAAAGUUUGAGACUUUAUGAAUCUUAGGCAUAUUUGGCCUAGGGAUUUGAAGUUUGGGCUUAAGAGCUUAAGCCAUUAAGAAGUUAUGAGGACUUAAUGAGUAGCGAAGUUACGUUCCGUGUAACAUAGGAGUACCCCCCGCGUAGCGGGUCAGUGCCCCGAUCCCCAGUUGCGAAUCAGCGAGUACGCCAAGCGUACCAGGGAAGGUACGCCUAGCGUAUUCCCUCUGNUUCAGACCUUUGGAGAGGUCUUGAGUGAGAAAAAGGAGGUCCCAAGGCUGUGGUUGUUCCAUGUGUGAGAUAUGUAGGUAUUAAUAGGUUAAGACCUUGGAUUAAGAGCUUUAUGGACGUCCCAAGUGAUAAAGUUUGAGACUUUAUGAAUCUUAGGCAUAUUUGGCCUAGGGAUUUGAAGUUUGGGCUUAAGAGCUUAAGCCAUUAAGAAGUUAUGAGGACUUAAUGAGUAGCGAAGUUACGUUCCGUGUAACAUAGGAGUACCCCCCGCGUAGCGGGUCAGUGCCCCGAUCCCCAGUUGCGAAUCAGCGAGUACGCCAAGCGUACCAGGGAAGGUACGCCUAGCGUAUUCCCUCUGUUGGGUUUUUCAUUUUGGGCCUUAGGGUUUGGGCUGUUAUUUGGGCUGCUGGAUGUUGGGCCGUGACUGGACAUUAUGGAUAGAGUAUUGUGGGCCCAUUAGUUGUCAUGGCUCAUGGGUCUAGGCCCAUUUGGUGAGGUGGGCCCAAUUUACUAAAUUGGGCCAAUAGUGGGCUUUGCUUCGGACUUUUGGACUUUAGGCCAUUGGUGGGCUUGGGAGCUUACCUAGUGUUGGGCCGGAUUGAGUUAAGGGUAAAAUGGUCAAUUUACCCUUGGAAGGGUUUUGUGCUUAGCCUAAUGAUU
RNAcentral lists this long non-coding RNA (6433 nucleotides) under Lactuca sativa (garden lettuce). RNAcentral's name for it is "long non-coding RNA (LSAT_LNC008796)". The record is from RNAcentral. Lineage: Eukaryota; Viridiplantae; Streptophyta; Magnoliopsida; Asterales; Asteraceae.